UACGAAGGGGGCUAGCGUUGCUCGGAAUCACUGGGCGUAAAGCGCACGUAGGCGGAUCUUUAAGUCAGGGGCGAAAUCCUGGAGCUCAACUCCAGAACUGCCUUUGAUACUGGGGAUCUCGAGUCCGGAAGAGGUGAGUGGAACUCCGAGUGUAGAGGUGAAAUUCGUAGAUAUUCGGAAGAACACCGGUGGCGAAGGCGGGUCUCUGGGCAGUAACUGACGCUGAGGAGCGAAAGCGUGGGGAGCGAACAGG
RNAcentral lists this ribosomal RNA (253 nucleotides) under uncultured bacterium. RNAcentral's name for it is "partial 16S ribosomal RNA". It matches the Rfam family "Bacterial small subunit ribosomal RNA", at positions 524 to 776 of the family's 1533-position model. The record is from RNAcentral.